Molecule: non-coding RNA, 93 nt
Organism: Colletotrichum fioriniae
Lineage: Eukaryota; Fungi; Ascomycota; Sordariomycetes; Glomerellales; Glomerellaceae
Source: the annotation of a RefSeq genome assembly
GCCGUCGUGGAGCAAUAGUAGCUUAUUGGCCUCCUACCUCUUCCCCGAGGGAGUCUCAGCCAAAGGUUGCGGGUGCAAGUCCCGCCGUCGGUA